RNAcentral lists this unclassified non-coding RNA (161 nucleotides) under uncultured Ascomycota. RNAcentral's name for it is "sequence contains ITS2". Lineage: Eukaryota; Fungi; Ascomycota. The record is from RNAcentral.
CGACCCUCAAGUAUAACUUGGUGUUGGGUGAAGUCCCUUAAAAAGGGACUCACCCCCUAACUUGUAGGCGGUCAUCACCUUUUUUCUCUCAGCGUAGCAGGCUUACGCACUCGCUCAGAGAUAGGUGAUUUGACUCGCUAAAUAAAAACCCUUUUUUAAAG